This 492-nucleotide ribosomal RNA is filed under the name uncultured bacterium. RNAcentral describes it as "partial 16S ribosomal RNA". It matches the Rfam family "Bacterial small subunit ribosomal RNA", at positions 29 to 507 of the family's 1533-position model. The record is from RNAcentral.
AGUGAACGCUGGCGGUAGGCCUAACACAUGCAAGUCGAACGGCAGCACAGUAAGAGCUUGCUCUUACGGGUGGCGAGUGGCGGACGGGCGAGGAAUACAUCGGAAUCUACUUUUUCGUGGGGGAUAACGUAGGGAAACUUACGCUAAUACCGCAUACGGCCUACGGGUGAAAGCAGGGGAUCUUCGGACCUUGCGCGAUUGAAUGAGCCGAUGUCGGAUUAGCUAGUUGGCGGGGUAAAGGCCCACCAAGGCGACGAUCCGUAGCUGGUCUGAGAGGAUGACCGGCCACACGGGAACUUAUACACGGUCCAGACUCCUACGGGAGCCAGCAGCAGGGAAGGUUGCGCAAGGGGCGAAAGCCUGACGGAGCAACGCCGCGUGAGUGAAGAAGGUCUUCGGAUCGUAAAACUCUGUUAUUAGGAAAGAAAAAAUGUGUAAGUAACUAUGCACGUCGUGACGGUACCUAAUCAGAAAGCCACGGCUAACUACGUG